This 99-nucleotide ribosomal RNA is filed under the name Tupaia belangeri (northern tree shrew). Lineage: Eukaryota; Metazoa; Chordata; Mammalia; Scandentia; Tupaiidae. The record is from RNAcentral.
UACCACCCUGAACGCGCCCAAUCUCGUCUGAUCUCGGAAACUAAGCAGGGUCGGGCCUGGUUAGUACUUGGAUGGGAGACCGCCAGGGAAAAAAAGGAU